Molecule: long non-coding RNA, 306 nt
Filed under: Nicotiana benthamiana
Lineage: Eukaryota; Viridiplantae; Streptophyta; Magnoliopsida; Solanales; Solanaceae
Description: long non-coding RNA (NBEN_LNC018515)
Source: RNAcentral
UUAGCUUUUAAUUUAGCAAUUAUACGUGCCAAUAGUUAGUGCUGGCUUCUGAAGGUAUAAAAUUACUACCAAUGUCUUUUCUUCUCUAGGUGUUUGAAUAAAUUCUUCAAUGAAUUACCAUUUCUAUUAAAUUUGUUAUGCAUAUUUCUGUCUUCUCUAUCUUUUAAGCGUCUGUGAUUUAGUUUUAUCUCUGUUGUUCGUAGGAGUAUCAUGGCUUUUGUUCUCAUUUUCGUGGGGCUAAAUUAUAUCAUAGCUACUGCCUGGAAGAUGAUAUAGGUCAUCUUAGAAAAAUCUAAGUUUUUUUUU